RNAcentral lists this long non-coding RNA (1468 nucleotides) under Cricetulus griseus (Chinese hamster). RNAcentral describes it as "lncRNA (ENSCGRG00015035777.1)". Lineage: Eukaryota; Metazoa; Chordata; Mammalia; Rodentia; Cricetidae. The record is from RNAcentral.
UGGGUCAGUCCUAUGCUGGUUUCCCAGCUAUCAGUCUGGGGUCCAGUAGCUCCCCUUUGUUCAGGUCAGCUUCUUCUGUGGGUUUCUCCAGCCUGGUCUUGACCCAUUUGCUCAUCACUCCUCCCCCUCUGCAACUGGAUUCCAGAGUUCAGCUCAGUGUUUAGCUGUGGGUGUCUGCUUCCCCUUCCAUCAGCUACUGGACAAAGGCUCUGGAAUGGCAUAUAAGGCAGAAGCAGGGAGUUCAUUGUGCUGGUAAGGAAGCACUUCAGGCCAAGAGAAGGAGGAGUUCCUCAGCACUGGAGCUAAUCAGUCAAGCUGCCUGAUACCCUGCAUUACAAACACAGUACCACUGGGAGAACUGAGGAGAGAAUGGAUACAGAUGACUGUUUAUUCUAAGGUGAUACCUAUAUUGAGUAAAAAGUACAGGAUCCCCUGACAGAGAGCAGGUUCAUCACUUGAGACCAAUUUUAAAAGGGAGUCACAGAUGAUGACUGAGGCCAGCUCAGAAUUGGAAGGGGAUGCAGGUGAUCAGAAGACUAUGGGUUGGUAUGAAAGAGGACAAGCCAUCACGUCAUAAUCCUGUCCCAGUCAUCUCAGAAGUGGAUAUCACAACUCUAAACAUAUAUGCACUGAACAAGGGCAAACCCAUGGCUGGAGAGAUGACUUGGUGAUCAAGAAGACCUAAAGAUUUGGUUAUCAGAACCCAUAUGGCAGCUCACAACCACCUUUACUCCAGUUUCAAGAGAUCCAACGACUCUUCUGACACCUCAGUUUCUUACACACCAAGCACUUAGGUACACACACAUAACUACAAGUAAAAUUAAAGUAGUUGUAAAUACAAAGUCACAGAUUAACUUCCACACAGUACUUGUGUGUGACUUCAAUAUCCUACUCUCACCAUUAAACUUAUCAUCCAGACCAAAAUCAACAGAGAAAUACUGGAAAUUACAUCAUCAUAUAUCAAGCAGACAUUUACAGAACAGUUCACACAAACACCACAAAAUAUACAUAUUUCUCAGGAUCCAGUAGAACUUCAGACAGAUCACAUACUGAAACACAAAACAAGUGUCACAACUACAGGAAAAUCCAAAUAACUACUUGUAUUUUAUCUGACCAUAAUGGAAUAAAGCUAGAAAUCAAUGGCAAGAGAAACUAUAGGAAAUAUGCAAACCCAUAGAGAUUAAAUUACACACUAUUGAACUAUUAAUGGGUCACUAAAGAAAAAGAAGAGGAAAACAAAAAUAUCAUAGAGUUAAACAAAAUGAAUACACCAAAAUCAAUAUGAUAAAGUAAAGGAAGUCUUAAGGCAGAAGUUUAUAGCUUUAAAUAGAGACAUUUAAUAAUUAAGGAGAUAUCAAACAGCUAAAAUAUACACCUUAAGACAUUGCCAAAAAGUAUUAAUUAGUUUGUAUGUGAGUUUGACAUAGGCCAGAGUCAUUUGGAAAAGAGAACCUCAAUUAAGAAAAUG